This 799-nucleotide ribosomal RNA is filed under the name Candidatus Phytoplasma pruni. RNAcentral describes it as "bacterial SSU rRNA". It matches the Rfam family "Bacterial small subunit ribosomal RNA", at positions 193 to 1005 of the family's 1533-position model. Lineage: Bacteria; Bacillati; Mycoplasmatota; Mollicutes; Acholeplasmatales; Acholeplasmataceae. The record is from RNAcentral.
AUCUUCUUUGAAGGUAUGCUUAAGGAGGGGCUUGCGACACAUUAGUUAGUUGGCAGGGUAAAGGCCUACCAAGACUAUGAUGUGUAGCUGGACUGAGAGGUUGAACAGCCACAUUGGGACUGAGACACGGCCCAAACUCCUACGGGAGGCAGCAGUAGGGAAUUUUCGGCAAUGGAGGAAACUCUGACCGAGCAACGCCGCGUGAACGAUGAAGUACCUCGGUAUGUAAAGUUCUUUUAUUAAGGAAGAAAAAAGAGUGGAAAAACUCCCUUGACGGUACUUAAUGAAUAAGCCCCGGCUAAUUAUGUGCCAGCAGCCGCGGUAAUACAUAAGGGGCGAGCGUUAUCCGGAAUUAUUGGGCGUAAAGGGUGCGUAGGCGGUUUAAUAAGUCUAUAGUUUAAUUUCAGUGCUUAACGCUGUUGUGCUAUAGAAACUGUUUUACUAGAGUGAGAUAGAGGCAAGCGGAAUUCCAUGUGUAGCGGUAAAAUGCGUAAAUAUAUGGAGGAACACCAGAGGCGUAGGCGGCUUGCUGGGUCUUUACUGACGCUGAGGCACGAAAGCGUGGGGAGCAAACAGGAUUAGAUACCCUGGUAGUCCACGCCGUAAACGAUGAGUACUAAGUGUCGGGUAAAACUGGUACUGAAGUUAACACAUUAAGUACUCCGCCUGAGUAGUACGUACGCAAGUAUGAAACUUAAAGGAAUUGACGGGACUCCGCACAAGCGGUGGAUCAUGUUGUUUAAUUCGAAGAUACACGAAAAACCUUACCAGGUCUUGACAUUUUCUUGCGAAGUUAUAG